CCAUUAUCUGAUGUCUGGCAUAAUUCAGAAAUUUUAAAAUAAUAAAAUUAUAGUUAAAUUUUCCAAAUACAUCUGUUACAUACAGAUUGAGUUGGCGUAUGCUGACAACUGCUGCUGCUAUUACAGAAUAGAGCUUAUGAAAUAUUAACUUAAAAAAAAAGAACUCCUACUAUUUGCAUACCUCACAAUCACAUUCUUCCCAGGGAAAGCUUGUACAGGGAUGUCUCUCCUUUGAUGAAUUGCACUUUAGCCCUACCAUUUAAUUAAUGUCCAAUUGCACCAGCAAUUUUUGAUCUUCUUCUGUCCAACAUAUAGAUUCAGUACGUUCAACUUGAACACAAGCCUGAGCUUCUCCAACAAGCGUAUGAUCCAAUUCACCUGACUCUAUACACUGCAAGUCCUCCAAAAGAAUCUUAUAAUGUUUUUGCACAUCCUCUGCACUCUUCUUCCCUCCAAGAAUGGAUGCAACCACUUGCCAUCGAUCAGGGUUUUCUUCAUCAACUACUGCCAAAGCCAGCUCAAACUGCUUAUUCUCUUCCCAGCUCCACCCACACAACAUUUUUGGAGAAUCAUCCAUAUUACCAUAUACCAAUUAUCAAGCCACAACAAACUAUUAGAGUCUUGAUCAAUAUUAGACGUUUUCCUGAGGAAAAUAAGGAAGACACAGUUGGUCAUUCACGUUAUAGUAUUCAUCGAACAAGUGUGAGAAUCUUUUCUGGUAGUUUGUUUGAUUCUCUUGACCAGAUUCUAAUACCCCUGAGUCCUUGGGGGGGCGUCAGAUAGGUGAGCUAGAAGCAAAUCUUCUCUUUUUUGUUUGUUCUUUCAAUGGGAGUUUCUGGGUGGUGAUGUGUGUAUGUCACAGACAAUUGGCCCUGCUUGGUCCAGAUCAUUUCUUGCAGGACCUAGAAUCCCAAAAUUUCCAAUUCUAGCAUUGGAUUCCAAUUGCUGUUAGAUCCGGAACUGCUGCAAUCAUCCAUGUAAAUUUUUACACAAAAUAUCAGAAUUCGUUCAAUCAAUGGUGGAGAAGAACCGACAGAUUUCAUUUGAAGCCAAUCAGCAUAUUUUCACUUCUUUAUUAAAAUUUCUAACUUGCAAGAAAA
This 1100-nucleotide unclassified non-coding RNA is filed under the name Hevea brasiliensis (rubber tree). The record is from RNAcentral. Lineage: Eukaryota; Viridiplantae; Streptophyta; Magnoliopsida; Malpighiales; Euphorbiaceae.